AUUUAGUAUGUGUACCUGUAAUAAAUAUGGACCAUCAGCAAAUUGUAUGUAGUAGGCUUUAGGUGGGCAUCUUGUGAGUUACGGUUUGCCAAUAAAGAAACCUAUCUAAUGUU
Small nucleolar RNA from Mercurialis annua (annual mercury), 113 nucleotides. The record is from RefSeq and is a predicted model, not a curated record. NCBI's taxonomy places the organism in Eukaryota, Viridiplantae, Streptophyta, Magnoliopsida, Malpighiales, Euphorbiaceae.